GCCAUAUGAUGUCACUGUAGACUUCUUGAGCACUCUGUGCAAAGAUGACGCACAUCUACCACCCAAGACUGAUGGCU
Euleptes europaea (tarantolino) is the source of this 77-nucleotide small nucleolar RNA. RefSeq annotates it as small nucleolar RNA SNORD83. The record is from RefSeq and is a predicted model, not a curated record. Lineage: Eukaryota; Metazoa; Chordata; Lepidosauria; Squamata; Sphaerodactylidae. The transcript has a single exon.